Molecule: ribosomal RNA, 263 nt
Filed under: uncultured bacterium
Lineage: Bacteria
Description: partial 16S ribosomal RNA
Rfam family: Bacterial small subunit ribosomal RNA
Source: RNAcentral
AUUAGUGGCGGACGGGUGAGUAACGCGUGGAUAACCCGCCGUAUACAGGGGGAUAACACUUAGAAAUAGGUGCUAAUACCGCAUAAGCGCACGGUUCCGCAUGGAACAGUGUGAAAAACUCCGGUGGUAUACGAUGGAUCCGCGUCUGAUUAGCCAGUUGGCGGGGUAACGGCCCACCAAAGCGACGAUCAGUAGCCGGCCUGAGAGGGUGAACGGCCACAUUGGGACUGAGACACGGCCCAAACUCCUACGGGAGGCAGCAG